This 246-nucleotide ribosomal RNA is filed under the name uncultured Clostridiaceae bacterium. Its description in RNAcentral is "partial 16S ribosomal RNA". It matches the Rfam family "Bacterial small subunit ribosomal RNA", at positions 796 to 1041 of the family's 1533-position model. Lineage: Bacteria; Bacillati; Bacillota; Clostridia; Eubacteriales; Clostridiaceae. The record is from RNAcentral.
CACGCCGUAAACGAUGAAUACUAGGUGUAGGGGUUGUCAUGACCUCUGUGCCGCCGCUAACGCAUUAAGUAUUCCGCCUGGGGAGUACGGUCGCAAGAUUAAAACUCAAAGGAAUUGACGGGGGCCCGCACAAGCAGCGGAGCAUGUGGUUUAAUUCGAAGCAACGCGAAGAACCUUACCAGGGCUUGACAUCCUCGGACGACACUAGAGAUAGUGUUUUCUCUUCGGAGACUGAGAGACAGGUGG